GAACGUGCGCUGACCCCACUGGUGGACGAAGUGAAGCAGAAGGGUCUGGCUCCUGCCUGCCCCAGUUGCCAGAGGCUACACAAGAAGAUUCUGCCCAGUCCAGUAAGCCCAGCGGCGCCUACACUCCUCUCCCCAGGAGCUGGAGCGCCAGGCCUUGGCCAAACACGUCAGGGCAGAGGCCCUGAGCUCCACCCUUCGGCUGGCCCAAGACGAAGCCGUUCGGGCCAAGAACCUACUGCUGACGGACAAGAUGAAGCCGGAGGAGAAGGUGGCCACUUUGGACUAUAUGCAUUUGAAGAUGUGUUCCCUCCACGACCAACUCAGCCACCUGCCACUUGAGGGGUCCACAGGGGCAAUGGGGGGAGGAAGCACUGGAGGGGCUCCCCCUAAACGUGGGGGUCCAGGCUCUGAACAAUAAAUGGCCUCUCAUGCUG
RNAcentral lists this long non-coding RNA (434 nucleotides) under Rattus norvegicus (Norway rat). RNAcentral's name for it is "long non-coding RNA NONRATT000682". Lineage: Eukaryota; Metazoa; Chordata; Mammalia; Rodentia; Muridae. The record is from RNAcentral.